UCAAUACACCUUAUUUUCUGGAAUGGAGGGAGCAUCAUUCUUGGUGUGACGGACAAAUAGAAAGAAAGGUCCGCAAAGAGUGCACUCACAAAAGCCAUGUACUGUAGGCCAUGAGUGAUUACCUUGAAAGCUUUCUCAUCGAGGCCAUAGUUCCAAACUAUACCAUCCUUUAAGAAACAUUCAAUCAGAAUUGGAGGAAAUGCCAUCCAUUGGGGUUCUGAAGUUCUGAACUUUGAUCUCUCUAUUUGAAUCGUUGUUAUUAUUUUGUCUGUAGGCCAUGAGCAAAUAAUCUGGAGAGUGCCUAAUGUUCCUCAACUUUUCUUAUGUUCCAAAUUCACUAUUAGUGUUGAUCAUCUUCAAAGAACAGAAAACGUAUGACAGGAUUAAGAUUGUAAUUUGUGCUCAUAUUUUUUUUUCCAAAAUUCACUGCUUGAUUAAUUUUGUUGUAGAAGCUUGAGAGAAAAAGAUAGUAAAUACAUAGUAACUUUAUAUUGAUUUAAGAGUAAUAGCAACACACCUGCUUUUAACUAUAUAUAAAUAUCUCUAUAUUGUUCUAUACUGUCCGUCAGCAAGUGAGCGUUUGAAUUGCUGUUGAUGUGCAUUGUACAUGGGCUUGGCCACUUGGAUUGUGAGACGAGAUCGAUCGACUAGAUGCUUGUUUAUUUGUGUUGUUCUUAAUUUAACUUUGUGGAAGGUUGCGAGCCGAAUGCAUCAUCGACGAGGAGGUGAGUUUGGAUUUGGACGGUGAAGAUGAGAAGAUAGUUGGGGAGGAAGAAGAUAUGCGGUGGCACGAGGUGGUGGCAUAAAUGGGGCUGUUGUGCUGCAUGUCCAAGGCUGCACUAGGGAGGCGCGAGCGGUGCCUCCCGCAAGAUUCCAUUGGGGCGAUGCAUGGGCGGCAGCCACCCCCAAGACCCUGUUAGCACAAUUUCAUAAUAAUAUAUUUAUACUGAUUGUUGUGCAAAAUAGAACACUAUUGUUUGUAGUUAUAUUAGUUUAUUUUCUCUAUAUACAAUGACACGUCUUAUUAUGUGUCCAAGAGGAAGGAAAAAUAUAUGUUUCUAGGUGUUAUGUGACUUACCUUUAAAAGGAAUAACUCUAAUAAGAAGUCCUGUUUUA
Molecule: non-coding RNA, 1116 nt
Organism: Aegilops tauschii subsp. strangulata
Lineage: Eukaryota; Viridiplantae; Streptophyta; Magnoliopsida; Poales; Poaceae
Source: RefSeq, a predicted model, not a curated record